This 402-nucleotide ribosomal RNA is filed under the name uncultured prokaryote. RNAcentral's name for it is "bacterial SSU rRNA". It matches the Rfam family "Bacterial small subunit ribosomal RNA", at positions 355 to 774 of the family's 1533-position model. The record is from RNAcentral.
UGAGGAAUUUUGCGCAAUGGGGGAAACCCUGACGCAGCAACGCCGCGUGGAGGAUGAAGUCCUUCGGGACGUAAACUCCUUUCGAUCGGGACGAUAAUGACGGUACCGAGAGAAGAAGCCCCGGCUAACUUCGUGCCAGCAGCCGCGGUAAUAUGAGGGGGGCGAGCGUUGUUCGGAAUUAUUGGGCGUAAAGGGUGCGUAGGUGGUUUGGUAAGUUUCGUGUGGAAACUCUGGGCUUAACUCAGAGCCUGCACGAAAAACUGCCGGGCUUGAGUAUGGGAGAGGUGAGUGGAAUUCCUGGUGUAGCGGUGAAAUGCGUAGAUAUCAGGAGGAACACCUGUGGCGAAAGCGGCUCACUGGACCAUAACUGACACUGAGGCACGAAAGCUAGGGGAGCAAACA